RNAcentral lists this long non-coding RNA (728 nucleotides) under Gallus gallus (chicken). The record is from RNAcentral. Lineage: Eukaryota; Metazoa; Chordata; Aves; Galliformes; Phasianidae.
CUCGGCUCCGCUCGGCUCCGCUCGGCCGCGCUCGGCUCCGCGGGGACGCGGCAGCCCGGAGCCGGCGCCAGGCAAAAGGCGGAGCGCGGAGCCCGGAGCGGAGCGGGGAGCGGCGGCGGCGGAGGGGAAAACGCGGGGCCGGAGCGCGGGAACGGCUUCGGACUACGAGGGGGGAACGGAAUCGGACGUCGGGCCGAAGUUCCUCGCGCUGAGCGCGGCGGGGCCCCGGCACUGCGGGCAGCCGGCCGGGGAGGCGCGCAGGGCCCGCGCGCGGCCGCGGGGAGCGGCUGGGGGCAAAGAUGGGAAGAUCCAUCUUCUCCAUAGGCAGAGAGGGCGCGUGACUGGGGACCGCUCUUUGGCCACACACGGCAGAGAUGCAGGCUGGGAACAUCGCUCCUUUUAAUGCCGCCCGAGGACGGACGCAGCACCGCGCGACGAGGCCGUGUCCGCGCCGCACCGGGUGCUGCCCGCCUUGUGCCCGCCGCUGCCCGCUCGCUCCGCCGGGCCCAGUCACGCCACAGCUUUCUGCUUCAUUAACCCCUUCUUCGCUCCCUGAUGGAUCUUUGAAUCCAGCUUCCAGAUUUUGGGCUUUCCUUUGAUGGGAAACUUCACAACCAUCUCCUGGGGAUUAGUGCAGAUAAAGACAAAUGGAGACCCAGAUUCCUGGCUCAAAUCCGGAUACUGCUCAUUAAAUUGCUCUUGCGAUAAACAAUCAGUUACAUCCACAC